RNAcentral lists this ribosomal RNA (548 nucleotides) under uncultured bacterium. Its description in RNAcentral is "bacterial SSU rRNA". It matches the Rfam family "Bacterial small subunit ribosomal RNA", at positions 356 to 896 of the family's 1533-position model. The record is from RNAcentral.
GGGGAAUAUUGGACAAUGGGCGAAAGCCUGAUCCAGCCAUGCCGCGUGUGUGAAGAAGGCCUUUUGGUUGUAAAGCACUUUAAGUGGGGAGGAAAAGCUUGUGGUUAAUACCCAUAAGCCCUGACGUUACCCACAGAAUAAGCACCGGCUAACUCUGUGCCAGCAGCCGCGGUAAUACAGAGGGUGCAAGCGUUAAUCGGAAUUACUGGGCGUAAAGCGCGCGUAGGUGGUUAUUUAAGUCAGAUGUGAAAGCCCCGGGCUUAACCUGGGAACUGCAUCUGAUACUGGAUAACUAGAGUAGGUGAGAGGGGAGUAGAAUUCCAGGUGUAGCGGUGAAAUGCGUAGAGAUCUGGAGGAAUACCGAUGGCGAAGGCAGCUCCCUGGCAUCAUACUGACACUGAGGUGCGAAAGCGUGGGUAGCAAACAGGAUUAGAUACCCUGGUAGUCCACGCCGUAAACGAUGUCUACCAGUCGUUGGGUCUUUUAAAGACUUAGUGACGCAGUUAACGCAAUAAGUAGACCGCCUGGGGAGUACGGCCGCAAGGUUA